UGUUCUAACGUGGACCCGUAAUCCGGGUUGCGGACAGUGUCUGGUGGGUAGUUUGACUGGGGCGGUCUCCUCCUAAAGAGUAACGGAGGAGCACGAAGGUUGGCUAAUCCUGGUCGGACAUCAGGAGGUUAGUGCAAUGGCAUAAGCCAGCUUGACUGCGAGCGUGACGGCGCGAGCAGGUGCGAAAGCAGGUCAUAGUGAUCCGGUGGUUCUGAAUGGAAGGGCCAUCGCUCAACGGAUAAAAGGUACUCCGGGGAUAACAGGCUGAUACCGCCCAAGAGUUCAUAUCGACGGCGGUGUUUGGCACCUCGAUGUCGGCUCAUCACAUCCUGGGGCUGAAGUAGGUCCCAAGGGUAUGGCUGUUCGCCAUUUAAAGUGGUACGCGAGCUGGGUUUAGAACGUCGUGAGACAGUUCGGUCCCUAUCUGCCGUGGGCGCUGGAGAACUGAGGGGGGCUGCUCCUAGUACGAGAGGACCGGAGUGGACGCAUCACUGGUGUUCGGGUUGUCAUGCCAAUGGCACUGCCCGGUAGCUAAAUGCGGAAGAGAUAAGUGCUGAAAGC
RNAcentral lists this ribosomal RNA (561 nucleotides) under Salmonella enterica. RNAcentral's name for it is "partial 23S ribosomal RNA". It matches the Rfam family "Bacterial large subunit ribosomal RNA", at positions 2218 to 2778 of the family's 2925-position model. Lineage: Bacteria; Pseudomonadati; Pseudomonadota; Gammaproteobacteria; Enterobacterales; Enterobacteriaceae. The record is from RNAcentral.